GCGCCCAGACCCUGCCAACAGCACGCAGACCCAGCAUCAGGCUGUUUCUCCCUCUGGAUCCCUGCACCCUAGGAGGGUAGGAUCUCUGAGGGCUUGUCUACAUUACCUGCAGGAUCGAUGGGCAGCGAUCAAUCCAGCAGGGGUCGAUUUAUCGCAUGUAGUCUAGACAGGAUAAAUGGACCGCCAAGCGCUCUCCCGUCGAGCGUCUCCACCAAAGCAAGAGGCACAGGCGGAGUCAAAGGGGGAGCGUCAGCCGUCGACUCACCGCAGUGAAGACACCGCGACGUCAAAUGCAAAAUUCACACAAAAUUAGAUUUUCAUAACUUCUGCAACGUCUUCUAAAACGGAAAGCAGCUCCUCUCAGGACUCUUCCAUUGAGCACAUGCGCAAAGAAAGAGGUAAAUGAAGUUGAUGUUAAUGUCUUGAUAUACUGGCAAUGAAGAAGUAGUGCCCCUGCAUCCUAUAUCAUAUAAAGACAAGUGAGAUGGCUGUUUCUGUGAUGCGAAUCUCUCUACUAGGAACAGGACUGAGAUCACAAACAAAUGACUAACUAAAAAUUAUUUACAGCAUUACCUACCUGAACUGAUCAAACUAAUGGAGCAAGAGUCCUACAUACUACCACUUCACAAAAUCGAACACUAAACGUAUUUAUAAUUGGGGUGUAUGUGUGUAUAUAUAGUGUCAAUUAAAGUAUAAACCUCUAAUCUACUCAUAUCAACAUUUGAUACAAUAUAGCAACUGAAGAUGAUUUAAUAACUAAACUUUGGUUAGUGAGGAUAGCAGAAAGUGAUAUUUAAUUUUACUACAGGGCAUGACAAUACACGCUAACACAUUGUAAAAGUCAUGCUUAAAGCACUAAUUUUCAAAUAUGAAUUUCAGUUUCUCUACUGUAGUGAAAGAAAACAGCAAAAUGUCUGCAAGUACCAAGACUGAGAAAAAUUGCUUUAGACCAAAUAAAUGCAAGUAGAUUACCAGAAAACACUACUUCACAGAAAUUAACAAAGAUUCCCAUGAAAGAAGUAGGAGAAACUUCAGAAAUAUAUAAGAUAUCAAUUACAGUAUGAUGAUUUAGCCUGUCACAGUCUAUGCAGUUUUUAAAAGAGAAAAAUCUGAAGCAGAACUCCUUUUUUUUUUUUAUUUCUGCAUACAUUAUGACAAAACAGAACCAAGCUGAACAUAAUUAAAGUAUCAUAUUUAUCUCCAGGUCCUGGUAACUUCUGCAAACCAAACCAUUUGUACAUUCCUCUUGUAAUAUAUUUUUGUCACAAGAACCUUACAAUAAAAAUACAUCCUUA
Molecule: long non-coding RNA, 1295 nt
Organism: Dermochelys coriacea (leatherback sea turtle)
Lineage: Eukaryota; Metazoa; Chordata; Testudines; Dermochelyidae
Exons: 3
Source: RefSeq, a predicted model, not a curated record